AUUCUCAGGGCGGAGUGAAAUUCUCCACCGGUGGUGAUUCAUUAAAUGAGAAAAUUUAUUUUGAAAAUGAUAAGUCCACGAGCACAAUUGUGUUGAUUUGGUGAAAGUCCAAAACCGACGGUGACAGUCCGGAUGGAAGAGAAUA
This 145-nucleotide non-coding RNA is filed under the name uncultured Methanobrevibacter sp. RNAcentral describes it as "FMN riboswitch (RFN element)". It matches the Rfam family "FMN riboswitch aptamer (RFN element)". From Rfam's summary of the family: The RFN element is a highly conserved domain that is found frequently in the 5'-untranslated regions of prokaryotic mRNAs that encode for flavin mononucleotide (FMN) biosynthesis and transport proteins. This element is a metabolite-dependent riboswitch that directly binds FMN in the absence of proteins. The record is from RNAcentral. Lineage: Archaea; Methanobacteriati; Methanobacteriota; Methanobacteria; Methanobacteriales; Methanobacteriaceae.